GCUUAGGGGCCUUUUCUUUGUCAUUUUUCUUCCUCUCUCUUCUUCUUCUUUUUUUUUUUUUUUGGUGUUUCUCUGAGUCAGCCUCCUGCGAUCUCUCACCCUUUGUCCUGCCCAUUUUCUUCGAGAUCAUCAGGAUCUUCAUUUGAAGAUAUUCGAAAUGUCUUUCGGUACUUCCGCCUCCGGCGGUUCCGGGAGCUCUUCCUCCUCAACCCCCCAGGUCCCCCAUUCUGUAGAUGAACCCGUACUUGGGGCUGGGCCUCGCCUGACUUUCGUGCCGAGUGCCAUUCCCUAUUCCUUGACUCCGGAUGAACUCCUGCUGAUAAGGGUUCAGUACGGAGUUCCUCCAGAGUA
RNAcentral lists this long non-coding RNA (351 nucleotides) under Elaeis guineensis (African oil palm). Its description in RNAcentral is "long non-coding RNA (EGUI_LNC070491)". Lineage: Eukaryota; Viridiplantae; Streptophyta; Magnoliopsida; Arecales; Arecaceae. The record is from RNAcentral.